This 237-nucleotide ribosomal RNA is filed under the name uncultured bacterium. Its description in RNAcentral is "partial 16S ribosomal RNA". It matches the Rfam family "Bacterial small subunit ribosomal RNA", at positions 1266 to 1500 of the family's 1533-position model. The record is from RNAcentral.
AGCUAAUCCCUUAAAGCCAUUCUCAGUUCGGAUUGUAGGCUGAAACUCGCCUACAUGAAGCUGGAGUUACUAGUAAUCGCAGAUCAGAAUGCUGCGGUGAAUGCGUUCCCGGGUCUUGUACACACCACCCGUCACACCACGGAAGUUGGGGGCGCCCGAAGCCACUUAGCUAACCCUUUUGGGAAGCGAGUGUCGAAGGUGAAAUCAAUAACUGGGGUGAAGUCGUAACAAGGUAUC